GAUGAACGCUAGCGGCAGGCCUAACACAUGCAAGUCGAGGGAGAGGUUAUCUUCGGGUAACCAAAACCGGCGCACGGGUGCGUAACGCGUAUACAAUCUGCCCUUCACAUAGGGAUAGCCCGAAGAAAUUUGGAUUAAUACCUAAUGGUAUAUAAGAGCGGCAUCGUUUUUAUAUUAAAGCUACGGUGGUGAAAGAUGAGUAUGCGUUCUAUUAGCUAGUUGGAGAGGUAACGGCUCCCCAAGGCGACGAUAGAUAGGGGUUCUGAGAGGGAUGUCCCCCACACUGGUACUGAGAUACGGACCAGACUCCUACGGGAGGCAGCAGUGAGGAAUAUUGGACAAUGGUCGGAAGACUGAUCCAGCCAUGCCGCGUGCAGGAUGAAGGUCCUAUGGAUUGUAAACUGCUUUUGUAAGGGAAGAAUAAGGGGUACGUGUACUUUGAUGACGGUACCUUACGAAUAAGCAUCGGCUAACUCCGUGCCAGCAGCCGCGGUAAUACGGAGGAUGCGAGCGUUAUCCGGAAUCAUUGGGUUUAAAGGGUCCGUAGGCGGGCUGAUAAGUCAGAGGUGAAAGCGCUUAGCUCAACUAAGCAACUGCCUUUGAAACUGUCAGUCUUGAAUGAUUGUGAAGUAGUUGGAAUGUGUAGUGUAGCGGUGAAAUGCUUAGAUAUUACACAGAACACCGAUAGCGAAGGCAUAUUACUAACAAUUUAUUGACGCUGAUGGACGAAAGCGUGGGGAGCGAACAGG
RNAcentral lists this ribosomal RNA (749 nucleotides) under uncultured Capnocytophaga sp. RNAcentral's name for it is "bacterial SSU rRNA". It matches the Rfam family "Bacterial small subunit ribosomal RNA", at positions 28 to 776 of the family's 1533-position model. Lineage: Bacteria; Pseudomonadati; Bacteroidota; Flavobacteriia; Flavobacteriales; Flavobacteriaceae. The record is from RNAcentral.